RNAcentral lists this ribosomal RNA (483 nucleotides) under uncultured Acinetobacter sp. RNAcentral's name for it is "bacterial SSU rRNA". It matches the Rfam family "Bacterial small subunit ribosomal RNA", at positions 424 to 893 of the family's 1533-position model. The record is from RNAcentral. Lineage: Bacteria; Pseudomonadati; Pseudomonadota; Gammaproteobacteria; Moraxellales; Moraxellaceae.
UGUAAAGCACUUUAAGCGAGGAGGAGGCUACUCUAGUUAAUACCUAGAGAUAGUGGACGUUACUCGCAGAAUAAGCACCGGCUAACUCUGUGCCAGCAGCCGCGGUAAUACAGAGGGUGCGAGCGUUAAUCGGAUUUACUGGGCGUAAAGCGUGCGUAGGUGGCCAAUUAAGUCAAAUGUGAAAUCCCCGAGCUUAACUUGGGAAUUGCAUUCGAUACUGGUUGGCUAGAGUAUGGGGGAGGAUGGUAGAAUUCCAGGUGUAGCGGUGAAAUGCGUAGAGAUACUGGAGGAAUACCGAUGGCGAAGGCAGCCAUACUGGCCUAAUACUGACACUGAGGUACGAAAGCUAUGGGGAGCAAACAGGAUUAGAUACCCUGGUAGUCCAUGCCGUAAACGGUGUCUACUAGCCGUUGGGGUCUUUGAGACUUUAGUGGCGCAAGCUACGCGGAUAAAGUAGACCGCCUGGGGAGUACGGUCGCAAGA